CAGCGCGGGGCCCUGGCGGCGAGUGGCGAACGGGUGAGUAAUAUAUCGGAACGUACCCUGGAGUGGGGGAACGUAGCGAAAGUUACGCUAAUACCGCAUACGAUCUAAGGAUGAAAGUGGGGGAUCGAGACCUCAUGCUCCUGGAGCGGCCGAUAUCUGAUUAGCUAGUUGGUAGGGUAAAAGCCCCAAGGCAUCGAUCAGUAGCUGGUCUGAGAGGACGACCAGCCACACUGGAACUGAGACGGUCCAGACUCCUACGGGAGGCAGCAGUGGGGAAUUUUGGACAAUGGGCGCAAGCCUGCCAGCAAUGCCGCGUGAGUGAAGAAGGCCUUCGGGUUGUAAAGCUCUUUUGUCAGGGAAAAAGGGUCUGGCUAAUAUCUAGGCCUCAUGACGGUACCUGAAGAAUAAGCACCGGCUCUACGUGCCAGCAGCCGCGGUAAUACGUAGGGUGCAAGCGUUAAUCGGAAUUACUGGGUAAAGCGUGCGCAGGCGGUUUUGUAAGACUGUCGUGAAAUCCCCGGGCUCAACCUGGGUGGCGAUGGUGACUGCAAGGCUAGAGUUUGGCAGAGGGGGGUAGAAUUCCACGUGUAGGUGAAAUGCGUAGAUAUGUGGAGGAACACCGAUGGCGAAGGCAGCCCCCUGGGUCAAAUGACGCUCAUGCACGAAAGCGUGGGGAGCAAACAGGAUUAGAUACCCUGGUAGUCCACCCUAAACGAUGUCUACUAGUUGUCGGGUCUUAAUUGACUUGGUAACGCAGCUAACGCG
Molecule: ribosomal RNA, 765 nt
Filed under: uncultured bacterium
Lineage: Bacteria
Description: bacterial SSU rRNA
Rfam family: Bacterial small subunit ribosomal RNA
Source: RNAcentral